CUACGGGCCGCACCAGUGGGGAAUUUUGGACAAUGGGCGCAAGCCUGAUCCAGCCAUUCCGCGUGAGUGAAGAAGGCCUUCGGGUUGUAAAGCUCUUUCGCAAGGGAAGAAAACUUAUCCUCUAACAUAGGGUGAGGUUGACGGUACCUUGAUAAGAAGCACCGGCUAACUACGUGCCAGCAGCCGCGGUAAUACGUAGGGUGCGAGCGUUAAUCGGAAUUACUGGGCGUAAAGCGUGCGCAGGCUGUUUUGUAAGUCAGAUGUGAAAUCCCCGAGCUCAACUUGGGAACUGCGUUUGAAACUACAAGACUAGGAUAUGUCAGAGGGGGGUAGAAUUCCAUGUGUAGCAGUGAAAUGCGUAGAGAUGUGGAGGAAUACCAAUGGCGAAGGCAGCCCCCUGGGAUAAUAUUGACGCUCAUGCACGAAAGCGUGGGGAGCAAACAGGAUUAGAUACCCCGGUAGUC
RNAcentral lists this ribosomal RNA (464 nucleotides) under uncultured bacterium. RNAcentral's name for it is "partial 16S ribosomal RNA". It matches the Rfam family "Bacterial small subunit ribosomal RNA", at positions 339 to 795 of the family's 1533-position model. The record is from RNAcentral.